Molecule: long non-coding RNA, 1527 nt
Organism: Mercenaria mercenaria
Lineage: Eukaryota; Metazoa; Mollusca; Bivalvia; Venerida; Veneridae
Exons: 3
Source: RefSeq, a predicted model, not a curated record
AUUUAAUUGUUUUAAGAAUAUUUGAAAAGGAUUAAAGAACUAUGCAAACAAAGAUGACGUAAUAAGGUAGAUCUUUAUUAGUCCCCUACUGGUUCCGGGAACUAGAGGAAAGCACUUGUCCGCCCAUCAUUCUGUCCGGCUGGCCGUCCGCAAUUUUGUGUCCAGUCCAUAACUAGGUCAUCCAUGAAGGGAUUUUAAUAUUACUUGGAACAAAUGUUUCCAAUUAUAAGACGACGUGUCAUGCGCAAAACUCGGUCCCCUACCUUAAAGGUCAAGGUCACAAUUCAAGGUCAAAGGUCAGUAGGGGUUUCUUGUCUAUGAUGAUGUGCUCUGGAGAGAUGCAGGUUCAAGGUCACACAUAGAUGUUAAAGGUCAAAAUUGACAUUAAACUCUUACUUGUAUGUUUUCCUUUGCAGCGACCACUUGAGAAUGAAAGGGAGCCCUUGGUGGAUGAAAGUGAGCAACCAAGCAAGAAAGUAAAGUUCUCUGUUGGUGAAAAAGUUUGGGCAUUGUAUAAGGAUGGACAUUCCUACAAGGCCAGGAUUAUAAGGAUUAACAAAAUUCCUACAGGGUGAAGUAUAUUCAAGAUGGAGUGGUCCAUGAUGUGGAUGGUGAAGGACUCGUUACUUAUGGUUGAAUUACCAGAAAUUUUCAUCUUAUGAACACAAUAGAGAUGUUAGAUCUUAAUCAAACUUGCACUUGUAUCAAUCCUUACGAGAACCAGUCAGAUUCCAUAUUACAAAAUCCUAUGAACUGAUUUUAUGUCAAAUUAACUCCGUCUGUUUCAAAUUAAAAUUGGUAUGUCCCAGUAACUAAUGAAGAUGCUGAUUUGAAAACUAUCAGGGGAGAAUAAUUAACUAUUACAAAUAACCUCACUUUAUUUUUAUGUUUUAUAUAUAUUGCAUGCAUGACCAUCUUGUUUUUCUGUGCUAGCAUCUUUUAUACUUUGUAAUACCAUUUUGUAAUUUCAUCCAGUUUUGUGAGGCAUUGUUUUAUUUGAUUUUUGAACUGGUUGUGACUUUGGGUAGAUUGACGGGGGCAGUCUGUCGCGUCCAUUACCUCCCUUUGUUUCAAAUUAAAAUACUAGGUUUAUUUCAGUAAGAAAUAAAGAUGUUUUGAAAUUUGAUUUAUACCCUGGGAUGGACUCGGACAAUCAGGGUACAUAACUAUGGACUAAUUUUUGUCAGAUUACCUCCCUUUGUUUCAAAUUAAAAUGGAUAUAUCUCAGUAGCUAAUGAAGAUACUGAUGUGGAAAUUCAUUAAUGAUGAAAGAUGGGCUCAGACAAUCAGGAAAGAUAACUGUUGACAAAUUACCUCCCUUUAUUUUUAUAUUGCAUAUAUUGCAUGGCCCUCUUGUUUACUGACCUAGCUUCAUAACUACUUUGUAAUACCAUUUUAUGACUUUAUCCAGUUCAUGAAAUUCAUCCAUUUGAUUUGGUUUUUAAUAUAAAGAUGAACAGGAUUUAAAUUGUAUGCAUUUAUCCUGUCAUGUAUUGUCAUUUUAUUAAAAAUAUGAUAUAAUUGGUA